AUCCAGCUGACGAGUCCCAAAUUGGACGAAAUGCGCGUCCUAGAU
Schistosoma rodhaini is the source of this 45-nucleotide non-coding RNA. NCBI's taxonomy places the organism in Eukaryota, Metazoa, Platyhelminthes, Trematoda, Strigeidida, Schistosomatidae. The record is from Rfam.